CUGGAACGCGCCUCGGCGCCCCCAGAAACCCUUUGUGAACUUAUACCUAUUGUUGCCUCGGCGAAGGCCGGCCUCUUCUGAGGCCCCCCGGAAACGGGGAGCAGCCCGCCGGCGGCCAACCAAACUCUUGUUUCUCAGUGAAUCUCUGAGUAAAAAACAUAAAUGAAUCAAAACUUUCAACAACGGAUCUCUUGGUUCUGGCAUCGAUGAAGAACGCAGCGAAAUGCGAUAAGUAAUGUGAAUUGCAGAAUUCAGUGAAUCAUCGAAUCUUUGAACGCACAUUGCGCCCUCUGGUAUUCCGGAGGGCAUGCCUGUUCGAGCGUCAUUUCAACCCUCAAGCCUGGCUUGGUGUUGGGGCACUGCCUCGAGAGAAGCAGGCCCUGAAAUCUAGUGGCGAGCUCGCUAGGACCCCGAGCGUAGUAGUUAUAUCCUCGUUCUGGAAGGCCCUGGCGGUGCCCUGCCGUUAAACCCCCAACUUUCUGAAAAUUUGACCUCG
This 496-nucleotide ribosomal RNA is filed under the name fungal sp. FLS-2010. RNAcentral describes it as "eukaryotic LSU rRNA". The stretch from base 172 to 325 matches the Rfam family "5.8S ribosomal RNA". Lineage: Eukaryota; Fungi. The record is from RNAcentral.